UUGACCUCGGAUCAGGUAGGGAUACCCGCUCAACUUAAGCAUAUCAAUGAGCGGAGGAAAAGAAACCAACAGGGAUUGCCCCACUAACGGCGAGUGAAGCGGCAAGAGCUCAAAUUUGAAAGCUGACUCCUUCGGGGUCCGCAUUGUAAUUUGCAGAGGAUGCUUCGGGAGCGGUCCCCAUCUAAGUGCCCUGGAACGGGACGUCAUAGAGGGUGAGAAUCCCGUAUGGGAUGGGGUGUCCGCGCCCGUGUGAAGCUCCUUCGACGAGUCGAGUUGUUUGGGAAUGCAGCUCUAAAUGGGUGGUAAAUUUCAUCUAAAGCUAAAUAUUGGCCGGAGACCGAUAGCGCACAAGUAGAGUGAUCGAAAGAUGAAAAGCACUUUGAAAAGAGAGUUAAAAAGCACGUGAAAUUGUUGAAAGGGAAGCGCUUGCGACCAGACUCGCUCGCGGGGUUCAGCCGGCAUUCGUGCCGGUGUAUUUCCCCGCGGGCGGGCCAGCGUCGGUUUGGGCGGUCGGUCAAAGGCCCUCGGAAGGUAACGCCCCCAGGGGCGUCUUAUAGCCGAGGGUGCAAUGCGACCUGCCUAGACCGAGGAACGCGCUUCGGCUCGGACGCUGGCAUAAUGGUCGUAAGCGACC
This 634-nucleotide ribosomal RNA is filed under the name Penicillium paradoxum. RNAcentral describes it as "eukaryotic LSU rRNA". It matches the Rfam family "Eukaryotic large subunit ribosomal RNA", at positions 1 to 649 of the family's 3401-position model. The record is from RNAcentral. Lineage: Eukaryota; Fungi; Ascomycota; Eurotiomycetes; Eurotiales; Aspergillaceae.